RNAcentral lists this ribosomal RNA (2929 nucleotides) under Campylobacter sp. MIT 12-8780. RNAcentral's name for it is "23S ribosomal RNA". It matches the Rfam family "Bacterial large subunit ribosomal RNA". The record is from RNAcentral. Lineage: Bacteria; Pseudomonadati; Campylobacterota; Epsilonproteobacteria; Campylobacterales; Campylobacteraceae.
AAAAAGGUAAGCUACAAAGAGCGAAUGGUGGAUGCCUUGGGUAGUAAAGGCGAUGAAGGACGUACUAGACUGCGAUAAGCUAUGGAGAGCUGUCAAGAAGCUUUGACCCAUAGAUUUCCGAAUGGGGCAACCCAAUGUAUAGAGAUAUACAUUACCAUAAUGGAGCGAACGAGGGGAAUUGAAACAUCUUAGUACCCUCAGGAAAAGAAAUCAAUAGAGAUUAUGUCAGUAGCGGCGAGCGAAAGCGUAAGAGGGCAAACCUAGUGCUUGCACUAGGGGUUGUAGGACUGCAAUAUGCACGAACUAAGCUUAGCAGAAUAUUCUGGAAAGUUUAAUCAUAGAGGGUGAUAAUCCCGUAUGCGAAAAGCAAAGUUUAGCUAGCAGUAUCCUGAGUAGGGCGAAACACGUGAAAUUUUGUCUGAAUCCGGGUCGACCACGAUCCAACCCUAAAUACUCAUACUACACCGAUAGCGAACAAGUACCGUGAGGGAAAGGUGAAAAGAACGGCGGUGAGCCGAGUGAAAUAGAACCUGAAACCAUUUGCUUACAAUCAUUCAGAGCCCUAUGGAGCAAUCCAGGGUGAUGGACUGCCUUUUGCAUAAUGAGCCUGCGAGUUGUGGUGUCUGGCAAGGUUAAGCACACGCGAAGCCGUAGCGAAAGCGAGUCUUAAAAGGGCGCUUAAGUCAGAUGCUGCAGACCCGAAACGAAGUGAUCUAUCCAUGAGCAGCUUGAAGCUAGUGUAAGAACUAGUGGAGGAGCGAACCCGCUAGCGUUGAAAAGCUAUGGGAUGACUUGUGGAUAGGGGUGAAAGGCCAAUCAAACUUCGUGAUAGCUGGUUCUCUCCGAAAUAUAUUUAGGUAUAGCGUUGUGUCGUAACUAAAGGGGGUAGAGCACUGAAUGGGCUAGGGCAUACACCAAUGUACCAAACCCUAUCAAACUCCGAAUACCUUUAGUGUAAUCACAGCAGUCAGGCGGCGAGUGAUAAAAUCCGUCGUCAAGAGGGAAACAACCCAGACUAACAGCUAAGGUCCCCAAAUCUCAUUUAAGUGGAAAACGAUGUGAAGUUACUUAAACAACCAGGAGGUUGGCUUAGAAGCAGCCAUCCUUUAAAGAAAGCGUAAUAGCUCACUGGUCUAGUGAUUUUGCGCGGAAAAUAUAACGGGGCUAAAAUGAGUACCGAAGCUUUAGACUUGCACCUAGUGCAAGUGGUAGGAGAGCGUUCUAUUUGCGUUGAAGGUAUACCGGUAAGGAGUGCUGGAGCGAAUAGAAGUGAGCAUGCAGGCAUGAGUAGCGAUAAAAGGGGUGAGAAUCCCCUUCGCCGUAAACCCAAGGUUUCCUACGCGAUGCUCGUCAUCGUAGGGUUAGUCGGGUCCUAAGUCGAGUCCGAAAGGGGUAGACGAUGGCAAAUUGGUUAAUAUUCCAAUACCAACAUUAAUGUGCGAUGGAAGGACGCUUAGGGCUAAGCAAGCUAGCGGAUGGAAGUGCUAGUCUAAGGUCGUAGGUGCUUAUACAGGAAAAUCCGUAUAAGAAUACACCGAGAGCUGAAAGGCUUCUCAAAGUCUUCGGAUAGCGAGGAGAAUUGCUGAUGCCGUCGAGCCAAGAAAAGUUUCUAAGUUUAGUUAAUGUUGCCCGUACCGUAAACCGACACAGGUGGGUGGGAUGAGUAUUCUAAGGCGCGUGGAAGAACUCUCUUUAAGGAACUCUGCAAAAUAGCACCGUAUCUUCGGUAUAAGGUGUGGUUAGCCUCGUAUUAGGAUUUACUUCGAAAGCGAGGAAACUUACAACAAAGAGUCCCUCCCGACUGUUUACCAAAAACACAGCACUCUGCUAACUCGUAAGAGGAUGUAUAGGGUGUGACGCCUGCCCGGUGCUCGAAGGUUAAUUGAUGGGGUUAGCAUUAGCGAAGCUCUUGAUCGAAGCCCGAGUAAACGGCGGCCGUAACUAUAACGGUCCUAAGGUAGCGAAAUUCCUUGUCGGUUAAAUACCGACCUGCAUGAAUGGCGUAACGAGAUGGGAGCUGUCUCAAAGAGGGAUCCAGUGAAAUUGUAGUGGAGGUGAAAAUUCCUCCUACCCGCGGCAAGACGGAAAGACCCCGUGGACCUUUACUACAGCUUGACACUGCUACUUGGAUAAGAAUGUGCAGGAUAGGUGGGAGGCUUUGAUUCAUAGACGCCAGUUUAUGAUGAGCCAUUGUUGAGAUACCACUCUUUCUUAUUUGGGUAGCUAACCAGCUUGAGUUAUCCUCAAGUGGGACAAUGUCUGGUGGGUAGUUUGACUGGGGCGGUCGCCUCCCAAAUAAUAACGGAGGCUUACAAAGGUUGGCUCAAGAUGGUUGGAAAUCAUCUGUAGAGUAUAAAGGUAUAAGCCAGCUUAACUGCAAGACAUACAAGUCAAGCAGAGACGAAAGUCGGUCUUAGUGAUCCGGUGGUUCUGUGUGGAAGGGCCAUCGCUCAAAGGAUAAAAGGUACCCCGGGGAUAACAGGCUGAUCUCCCCCAAGAGCUCACAUCGACGGGGAGGUUUGGCACCUCGAUGUCGGCUCAUCGCAUCCUGGGGCUGGAGCAGGUCCCAAGGGUAUGGCUGUUCGCCAUUUAAAGCGGUACGCGAGCUGGGUUCAGAACGUCGUGAGACAGUUCGGUCCCUAUCUGCCGUGGGCGUAAGAAGAUUGAAGAGAUUUGACCCUAGUACGAGAGGACCGGGUUGAACAAACCACUGGUGUAGCUGUUGUUCUGCCAAGAGCAUCGCAGCGUAGCUAAGUUUGGAAAGGAUAAACGCUGAAAGCAUCUAAGCGUGAAGCCAACUCUAAGAUGAAUCUUCUCUAAGCUCUCUAGUAGACUACUAGUUUGAUAGGCUGGGUGUGUAAGAAAUGAAAGUUUCUUAGCUGACCAGUACUAAUAGAGCGUUUGGCUUAUCUUAUUUAAGCAUCACUUC